RNAcentral lists this unclassified non-coding RNA (732 nucleotides) under Zea mays. Its description in RNAcentral is "misc RNA Zm00001eb127910". The record is from RNAcentral. Lineage: Eukaryota; Viridiplantae; Streptophyta; Magnoliopsida; Poales; Poaceae.
AGACAUGGUCUUCUUAGAACCUGAGAAAGUGGGAACCCAGCAACCACAGUUCAACAAAUACGUCCCUUACAAAUAAAAAAAAAAGAAAGAAAAAGAAAACCUGCCACAUUUCCUUUGAGUGUUUUAAGUUACAGGAAGGAGGCACUCGUACAACCUUAUUGAGCCUUGUGUUGCAGCAGGGCUGGGCUCUUUUCCUUAGUAUGCAAAGCGGUACAAUUUAUAUCUACAUAUAUGCAGCGCUGCUAGCUUGGGCGGCAAGAAAAGAGCCCAGUCCAACUACAGCUACAAGGCCCAAUAGGAUUGUACAGUUAAUACUAACAAACUCAUGGAUAAGAGUAUACCAUCAAACGUUUGUACGUCAGAAAAGGUUACAAAAUUUUAUGGAUAUUUUUGGCCAAUGUCCUUGCUCAAAUGGAUAAGAGUAAAUCAUCAAAAUUCUUAUAGUGUAUCUACUUUUCUUAGGAUAAAAGAUCAGUUUUUUUUACCUAGCACUGAAACACAAAUCAAAGAAAAGGUUGGACCAGACUUGUCGUUUCCUUUGUUGAACAGUUAUGAUAAUAAGAGUUUCAACAGAAAAUCAAGUGGUAACAAGAUAAAACUGCCAGCCACGAAAUACCCAAGUUCGACCAGUAUCUAUCUACAACGCCAUAUCCUGCCUAACUUAGCUAGCAGUAGAAAAGUGCAAACAGUGAAGAAAACAUACGGUAAGAAAGAAUUACCUGCAGAUUUCUU